GAUGAAGAACGUAGCGAAAUGCGAUAAGUAAUGUGAAUUGCAGAAUUCAGUGAAUCAUCGAAUCUUUGAACGCACAUUGCGCCCGCCAGUAUUCUGGCGAGCAUGCCUGUUCGAGCGUCAUUUCAACCAUCAAGCCCCAGGCUUGUGUUGGAGCCCUGCGGCUGCCGCAGCCUCCCAAAACCAGUGGCGGGCUCGCUAUCACACCGAGUGCAGUAGUUUACUCUUCGCUCAGGGCGUGUGGCGGGUGCUAGCCGUGAAACCCCCAACUUCUCAAGGUUGACCUCGGAUCAGGUAGGAAUACCCGCUGAACUUAAGCAUAUCAAUAAGCGAAGGA
Molecule: unclassified non-coding RNA, 334 nt
Filed under: soil metagenome
Description: partial contains 5.8S ribosomal RNA, internal transcribed spacer 2, and large subunit ribosomal RNA
Rfam family: 5.8S ribosomal RNA (bases 1-120)
Source: RNAcentral